CCUGGUGAAGCUCAAGAGCGAGAAGGUCCUCAUGAAGUUCUCCAAAGGUGACGCUUCGAUUCGGGCCCUUCGGGAGCCGAAUUUGGGGUGGGGGGAGGUGUUUUGGGGGUCCCUGGCCCCAGGAAGGUUUUUUGGGGGUCCCUGGUGCCAGGGAGGUGUUUUUGGGGUCCCUGAUGUGGGAGGAGGUUUUUGUGGGGUCCCUGGUGCUAGGGAGGUGUUUUUGGGAUCCCUGGUGCUGGAGAGGUGUUUGUGGGGUCCCUGACACUGGUGAGGUGUUUGUGGGGUCCCUGGCACCAGGGAGGUGUUUUUGGGGUCCCUGAUGUGG
Long non-coding RNA from Chiroxiphia lanceolata (lance-tailed manakin), 325 nucleotides. RefSeq lists it as uncharacterized. The record is from RefSeq and is a predicted model, not a curated record. NCBI's taxonomy places the organism in Eukaryota, Metazoa, Chordata, Aves, Passeriformes, Pipridae. The transcript is spliced from 3 exons.